UAGCGAACGGCUGAGUAACACGUGGGCAACCUGCCCCUCUCAUUGGGAUAGCCACGGGAAACCGUGGAUAAUACCGAAUACUUCGAGUCUCCCGCAUGGAAGACUCGAGAAAGCUCCGGCGGAGAGGAUGGGCCCGCGGCCUGUUAGCUUGUUGGUGGGGUAACGGCCUACCAAGGGCAAUGAUGGGUAGCUGGGUUGAGAGACCGACCAGCCAGAUUGGGACUGAGACACGGCCCAG
Molecule: ribosomal RNA, 238 nt
Filed under: uncultured bacterium
Lineage: Bacteria
Description: partial 16S ribosomal RNA
Rfam family: Bacterial small subunit ribosomal RNA
Source: RNAcentral